Cyprinus carpio (common carp) is the source of this 1074-nucleotide long non-coding RNA. The record is from Ensembl. NCBI's taxonomy places the organism in Eukaryota, Metazoa, Chordata, Actinopteri, Cypriniformes, Cyprinidae.
UGUAAAGCUUACUGUAGUAUUAACUAUAGAAAACUGAUGAACUGUAAUAAAUACUGUAGUAUACUUUAGUUUUUACUACAGUAAACUGUAAUGUAUUGUAGUAUAAUAUACAAUAUAGUUGUACAAAACUUGGUACAGUAUUGGGUAAAGUAAUUUGUUUAUAUUACUAUAGUUGUUAUAUUACCACAGAAACUAUAGAAUUAACACAACAAAUUCAUUCAAGUACUUUACUAUAGUAUGGUUCAAAAACACUAGUAUUUACUAUAAAUUACUAUAGUAUUUUUUCAUGUGGGCUGUAUCGUUUUUUCUUCCUUUUUUCUUUCAAAAAUAACCCACAACUAGCCCCAGUGUCCCGUAUCUGCAAAAAAUAUUAAGAUGAUUUCUGAAGAAUAGUGUGACACUGACUGGAGUAAUGGCUGCUGAAAAUUCAGCUUUGCCAUCACAGGAAUAAAUUACAGUUUGAAAAAUAUAUUAAAAUAGAAAACAGUUACAAGUACAAUUUUAAUUUGUAAUAAUAUUUCACAAUAUUACUGUUUUUACUGUAUUUUCAUCAAAUAAAUGUAGCCUUUGUGUGCAUAGGAUACUUCUUUCAAAUACAUAAAAAAUGAACUAAAAAACAAAAACUAUUUUGUUUUUGUAUACUUUAUAAUUUUAAGAAUACACUUUAAAAAUCUAAAAUUGAUAGAAUGUUCAUCAUCUAAAACCCAUCCGAAAGUGACUGUCAUUGUGAUAUUUACAUACUGAAUUCCAACGGGUAUUUUCCUUGCAUCUGUUUGCAUAGUCUUUCUUGCAUCUACACUUUGCAUCAUUUAUGUUCUUCCUUGUGUGUGUGUUUAUGUGUGUAUAGAAUGUUUGCCCCAGCCACAUGCUCUGAGCCAGUCAAACUACUUGUGGAUCUUCAUUCUCCUUUUACUGAUGUGGGUCAUCACCGCCUUCUACUUCACAAAGGAAACUUCAUCAUAAUGUCCUGAAUCAGGUCUGGUAUGAGGUCCCUGAGCUGUGUUUUUUGCUAAAGCGUUUUUCUCAUAAUGCAGUUUGGUAUAAAAAAAAUAAAAAUAAAAUUGGCACUUUUCA